GAGUUUGAUCAUGGCUCAGAUUGAACGCUGGCGGCAGGCCUAACACAUGCAAGUCGAGCGGUAGAGAGAAGCUUGCUUCUCUUGAGAGCGGCGGACGGGUGAGUAAUGCCUAGGAAUCUGCCUGGUAGUGGGGGAUAACGCUCGGAAACGGACGCUAAUACCGCAUACGUCCUACGGGAGAAAGCAGGGGACCUUCGGGCCUUGCGCUAUCAGAUGAGCCUAGGUCGGAUUAGCUAGUUGGUGAGGUAACGGCUCACCAAGGCGACGAUCCGUAACUGGUCUGAGAGGAUGAUCAGUCACACUGGAACUGAGACACGGUCCAGACUCCUACGGGAGGCAGCAGUGGGGAAUAUUGGACAAUGGGCGAAAGCCUGAUCCAGCCAUGCCGCGUGUGUGAAGAAGGUCUUCGGAUUGUAAAGCACUUUAAGUUGGGAGGAAGGGCGGUAAAUUAAUACUUUGCUGUUUUGACGUUACCGACAGAAUAAGCACCGGCUAACUCUGUGCCAGCCGCCG
Molecule: ribosomal RNA, 513 nt
Filed under: uncultured bacterium
Lineage: Bacteria
Description: bacterial SSU rRNA
Rfam family: Bacterial small subunit ribosomal RNA
Source: RNAcentral